AGUGAACGCUGGCGGCAUGCCUAACACAUGCAAGUCGAACGAGUUUCAGCAGAGCACCGCUGGAGCUAGUGGCAGACGGGUGAGUAAUACGUGAACAAUCUUCCUUUGAGCGGGGGAUAACCUUGGGAAACCAGGGCUAAUACCGCGUAAGACCACGUCCCGACAUCGGGAUGAGGCCAAAGCUCCGUAAGGGGCGCUUGAAGAGGAGUUCACGGCCUAUCAGCNGUUGGUGAGGUAACGGCUCACCAAGGCUACGACGGGUAGGCGGUCUGAAAGGACGACCGCCCACAAUGGCACUGAGACACGGGCCAUACUCCUACGGGAGGCAGCAGUGGGGAAUUUUGCGCAAUGGGGGGAAACCCUGACGCAGCGAUGCCGCGUGGAGGACGAAGGUCUCGGAUUGUAAACUCCUUUUGCGGGGAAAAUGUCUGCGUGAAGAACGUAGAUUGAUGGUACUCCGCGAAUAAGCCACGGCUAACUUCGUGCCAGCAGCCGCAGUAAC
RNAcentral lists this ribosomal RNA (502 nucleotides) under uncultured bacterium. RNAcentral's name for it is "bacterial SSU rRNA". It matches the Rfam family "Bacterial small subunit ribosomal RNA", at positions 29 to 524 of the family's 1533-position model. The record is from RNAcentral.